This 497-nucleotide ribosomal RNA is filed under the name uncultured bacterium. RNAcentral describes it as "partial 16S ribosomal RNA". It matches the Rfam family "Bacterial small subunit ribosomal RNA", at positions 28 to 507 of the family's 1533-position model. The record is from RNAcentral.
GAUGAACGCUGGCGGCGUGCCUAAUACAUGCAAGUCGAGCGAACAGACGAGGAGCUUGCUCCUCUGACGUUAGCGGCGGACGGGUGAGUAACACGUGGAUAACCUACCUAUAAGACUGGGAUAACUUCGGGAAACCGGAGCUAAUACCGGAUAAUAUAUUGAACCGCAUGGUUCAAUAGUGAAAGACGGUUUUGCUGUCACUUAUAGAUGGAUCCGCGCCGCAUUAGCUAGUUGGUAAGGUAACGGCUUACCAAGGCGACGAUGCGUAGCCGACCUGAGAGGAUGAUCGGCCACACUGGAACUGAGACACGGUCCAGACUCCUACGGGAGGCAGCAGUAGGGAAUCUUCGGCAAUGGGCGCAAGCCUGACGGAGCCACGCCGCGUGAGUGAUGAAGGUCUUCGGAUCGUAAAACUCUGUUAUUAGGGAAGAACAAAUGUGUAAGUAACUAUGCACGUCUUGACGGUACCUAAUCAGAAAGCCACGGCUAACUACGUG